RNAcentral lists this microRNA (22 nucleotides) under Blattella germanica (German cockroach). RNAcentral's name for it is "Bge-Novel-6-P1_3p (mature (guide))". The record is from RNAcentral. Lineage: Eukaryota; Metazoa; Arthropoda; Insecta; Blattodea; Blattellidae.
UUGAAAUGGACGAUUGUCUGUG